This 250-nucleotide ribosomal RNA is filed under the name uncultured bacterium. RNAcentral's name for it is "partial 16S ribosomal RNA". It matches the Rfam family "Bacterial small subunit ribosomal RNA", at positions 524 to 772 of the family's 1533-position model. The record is from RNAcentral.
AACGUAGGACGCGAACGUUAUCCGGAUUUACUGGGCGUAAAGCGCGUGCAGGCGGUGGCUUAAGUCGUGCGUGAAAGCUCCCUGGCUCAACCGGGAGAGGCCGCGCGAAACUGGGUCACUGGAGGGCGGUAGAGGCGUGUGGAAUUCCGGGUGUAGUGGUGAAAUGCGUAGAUAUCCGGAGGAACACCAGUGGCGAAGGCGACACGCUGGGCCGUACCUGACGCUCAGACGCGAAAGCAUGGGUAGCGAA